GAUGAAGAACGUAGCGAAAUGCGAUAAGUAAUGUGAAUUGCAGAAUUCAGUGAAUCAUCGAAUCUUUGAACGCACAUUGCGCCCGCCAGUAUUCUGGCGGGCAUGCCUGCUCGAGCGUCAUUUCAACCAUCAAGCCCCAGGCUUGUGUUGGGGACCUGCGGCUGCCGCAGGCCCUGAAAACCAGUGGCGGGCUCGCUGUCACACCGGGCGUAGUAGAUUUUAUCUCGCUCAGGGCGUGCUGCGGGUUCCGGCCGUUAAAAAGCCUUUUUUACCCAAGGUUGACCUCGGAUCAGGUAGGAAGACCCGCUGAACUUAAGCAUAUCAAUAAGCGGAGGA
This 336-nucleotide unclassified non-coding RNA is filed under the name soil metagenome. Its description in RNAcentral is "partial contains 5.8S ribosomal RNA, internal transcribed spacer 2, and large subunit ribosomal RNA". The stretch from base 1 to 120 matches the Rfam family "5.8S ribosomal RNA", at positions 35 to 154 of the family's 154-position model. The record is from RNAcentral.